This 309-nucleotide ribosomal RNA is filed under the name Triticum aestivum (bread wheat). RNAcentral describes it as "partial small subunit ribosomal RNA". The record is from RNAcentral. Lineage: Eukaryota; Viridiplantae; Streptophyta; Magnoliopsida; Poales; Poaceae.
AUGGCAAUCUCAAAGAAGAACACAAGCGCCCUGAUUUUGAUGGCCCUCAUAGUCAUGGCCACUGUCCUCUCCUCGUGCAACGCAAACAAUGAGAUAGAUGCUCUCCCCCUACCCGAUAAAUGCUACAGCACGGAACUCCCUAACUGCACAAAGGAGGCGUGCAAGAAACUUUGCAACAGCCCAGGGGGUCAACCAUCAAGAAGCUUGAAGGAGAUACGCAAGCUGGAGAAGUUCUCUGCUUUUGAGCUCAAAGUGAAGAAGCUGGUUGCACCGUUCAUCAUGGAGCAGAAGCACUAUUUCAAAAACUAG